GGAAGGAUCAUUAACAAAUUCCAAAACUUGUGUUUGACUGGUGUCUAUUGCCAUCGUUGUCUCAUCGUGUGUAUGUAUGUAUGUAUGUAUGUAUGUAUGUAUGUACGUAUGAUGAUGAUGGUGAUGGGUACCAGUCAGUACCAAAACACACAACAUACAUACACUUGACACAACAUGACACAUACAUUUCGAGAGAGAGAGAGAGAUAUGUGUAUCAUUCUAUCUAAUGACAGAAUUUUACCAUUCGAUCAAUCCAUAUACAACUUUUAACAAUGGAUCUCUCGGCUCUUGCAACGAUGAAGAACGCAGCGAACUGCGAAACGUGAUGUGAACUGCAAUCUUCGUGAAUCAUCCAAUCUUUGAACGCAAUUUGCACCUUGUGGCUCAUGUCACAAGGUAUACUUGUUUGAGUAUCUGAAACAACCUCACCAACCCUUUGGGGUGAAGUGGUGGAGCUGAGAGUUCAAUUAUUUUGUUACUUGCCUGCCUGCCUGCCUGCCUGCCUGCCUGCUACGGAAACGUAGUGAGUGGUACGGUGGUACGGUACGGGUACCAUCAUGCCAAUUGUCUCUUAAAUGUACAAAGGUCAAACUUUAAAAAAGAAGGGGGUCUCCGUUUGGAACCUGACUCGGACCAUUGGGAUAACAUCCUAACGAUCGUCUGUCGGUUCUUUCAUAAGCGUUGACUUUUUUAGACCUUUUUCGGAUAAAUAGUGUGUUUGGUAGCCCCUCUUAAACAAGGCUCUGUGCUAAUUAUCCAACGUACGUAUAUAUAUCUCUUUACGGAGGGGGUAUGUACAGUUAGUAUCAUAGAUCUCAAAUCAAGUAAGGAUACCCGCUGAACUUAAGCAUAUCAGUAAGCGGAGGAAAAGAAACUAACAAGGAUUCCCUGAGUAACGGCGAGUGAAACGGGAAGAGCUCAAAUUUAAAAUCUGGUACCCUUAAAUGGGUAUCCGAAUUGUAAUUGAGAGGGUCUUCUUUUGAUGAAGGUGAUGGCCAAAGUUCUCUGGAAAGGGGCAACAAAGAGGGUGACAUUCCCGUCUGGGUCAUUACACAGAGUCAGUAUAAAGGAGGCUCUAAGAGUCGGAUUGUUUGGGAAUGCAGUCCAAAAUGGGUGGUACAUUUAAUCUAAAGCUAAAUAUAGGCAAGAGACCGAUAGCGAACAAGUACCGUGAGGGAAAGAUGAAAAGAACUUUGAAAAGAGAGUUAAAUAGUACGUGAAAUUGUUAAAAGGGAAACGAUUGAGACCAGUGAUGUGUGACAGUUCUAAAGCAUUUCUCUUGGGAAAUGUGUGUAUAUGAGCUGUUCACGAGUCGACGCUCCUUUUGUGCCUUGGAAAAGACGGUAGGAAAGAUGGCUCCAUCUUUGGAUGGCUGCUUUAUAGUCCUAUCGGGAUACAAGGUGUGGGAGGAGACAGGUGGGCUUACUUGUAAGUCACGUCGACGAAAUGGUCUUAAACGACCCGUCUUGAAACACGGACCAAGGAGUCUAACAACUAUGCGAGUAUUUGAGUGGUAAACUCGAAUGCGCAAAGAAAUUGAACGCGUGGGACUUGUCUUUUCAAGUGGAAGGCAAUGCACCAUGGGCCGGUCCUUGUCUUUGACUUGGAUUGCGCUAGAGCAUAUCUGUUGGGACCCGAAAGAUGGUGAACUAUGCCUGAAUAGGGUGAAGCCAGGGGAAACUCUGGUGGAGGCUCGUAGACAUUCUGACGUGCAAAUCGAUGUUCAAAUUUGGGUAUAGGGGCGAAAGACUAAUCGAACCAUCUAGUAGCUGGUUCCCUC
RNAcentral lists this unclassified non-coding RNA (1780 nucleotides) under uncultured fungus. Its description in RNAcentral is "sequence contains 18S rRNA gene, ITS1, 5.8S rRNA gene, ITS2, 28S rRNA gene". The stretch from base 811 to 1780 matches the Rfam family "Eukaryotic large subunit ribosomal RNA", at positions 1 to 961 of the family's 3401-position model. Lineage: Eukaryota; Fungi. The record is from RNAcentral.